GUGAAUCAUCAAAUUUUUGAACGCAAAUUGCACUCUCUUCGGAGAGUAUGCCUGUUUGAGGGUCAGCCUAUAAAAAAUCGACAUCGUCGCUGUUUCGCGGUGGCGUUCGUCGGAAAUUGGGUCAUCUUAAACCCUUUUGGUUUUUAAGCGACUUAAAAUUCUUUUUUUUUUUACAUGAACGUUUCUAAGAUUUAUUUCUUUACACGUUUAAGGUAUCGAUUUUUAUUAGACGUGACCAUCAUAUAGGAUCACGUCCAUAAUCUUUAAUUAACUGAC
Molecule: unclassified non-coding RNA, 276 nt
Filed under: Glomeraceae sp.
Lineage: Eukaryota; Fungi; Glomeromycota; Glomeromycetes; Glomerales; Glomeraceae
Description: partial contains 5.8S ribosomal RNA and internal transcribed spacer 2
Rfam family: 5.8S ribosomal RNA (bases 1-65)
Source: RNAcentral